Molecule: ribosomal RNA, 253 nt
Filed under: uncultured bacterium
Lineage: Bacteria
Description: partial 16S ribosomal RNA
Rfam family: Bacterial small subunit ribosomal RNA
Source: RNAcentral
UACGGAGGGGGCUAGCGUUGUUCGGAAUUACUGGGCGUAAAGCGCGCGUAGGCGGUUUAGCAAGUUAGAGGUGAAAGCCCGAAGCUCAACUUCGGAAUUGCCUUUAAAACUGCAAAGCUAGAAUCAUGGAGAGGUGAGUGGAAUUCCGAGUGUAGAGGUGAAAUUCGUAGAUAUUCGGAAGAACACCAGUGGCGAAGGCGACUCACUGGACAUGUAUUGACGCUGAGGUGCGAAAGCGUGGGGAGCAAACAGG